CUACUCUAGACUCCAAUCCGAAACGUGAAAUUCUUUCGCCUUUUACUAAAGAAUUCCGGGCUUGGGGUCAACUUGAGUUUUCAUUCUUUUUCCGAACCCACUGCAAAUGGUGGGU
Small nuclear RNA from Symsagittifera roscoffensis, 115 nucleotides. RefSeq annotates it as U5 spliceosomal RNA. Lineage: Eukaryota; Metazoa; Xenacoelomorpha; Acoela; Convolutidae. The transcript has a single exon. The record is from RefSeq and is a predicted model, not a curated record.